Perca fluviatilis (European perch) is the source of this 780-nucleotide long non-coding RNA. RefSeq lists it as uncharacterized. Lineage: Eukaryota; Metazoa; Chordata; Actinopteri; Perciformes; Percidae. The record is from RefSeq and is a predicted model, not a curated record. The transcript is spliced from 3 exons.
AAAUUCCAACACAAAGAAAGCCCUAGGUAAUGGACAUCCGGCCUAAAUGAGGUACAUCCGGCGGAAUUUCCGUUGUCACCGGAGCAAUUGAGGAAGUGGAACUAGUUUGUGAGUGUCGUUGGUUGAUUUAGUGGUUCGUCGGCGUACCAUCACAGUUACCCAGCUGUGGUUUGGCCCCAGAAUAUCAACAGAGGCUGAUGGUCUUGGCUGUCCCUUGACCUCUGUUUUCUACAGAGAACCAUAUCCGAAACUUGGCAUCUACAAGCUUCUACAAAAAUGGCAAAAUCCAGAUUUUUCUUUUGUUGCACUGUGGAAACUGAUCUGCCCUGUGAAUUCCUUAAUCAUUGCCUGUAUUAAAUUAUGUCAGUCAAUGAGAAGAAGAUUCAGUAGCUUCCUGGCCGUCAAUCCCAUCAUCAUAAAUGUGUUUAUCUGCUGACACAUCAUUUUUAGAUUAGACAAAUGAGUGUAUGCACGGUUUUAGCCCUUUUACUGCAAAUUACACACAAUUUACAUUAUAAGUAACAUUCAACAAAGCAUCAUAUUUUAACCACACUGCUCGGUCCCGACAUAAGAUUGUAUUUCUUUUAUAUAAACCCAACAGAUGACAGUAAAGAGAAGAAGGGGAACGACAUGCAACAAAAGUUCCUGGCAGGUUGCCAACGGGCACAUUGCAGUUCAUAGUCGGCACCUUUUUAUUUAUUUAUUUAUUUAUUUAUUUUACCUUUAUUUAUUCAGGGAAAGUUCACUGAGAGGAAGCCUCUCUUUUGCAGGAACACCUUG